This 28-nucleotide non-coding RNA is filed under the name Homo sapiens (human). Lineage: Eukaryota; Metazoa; Chordata; Mammalia; Primates; Hominidae. The record is from RNAcentral.
AGGGAAGAAAUUGACAUUACAGCAAGAC